This 858-nucleotide ribosomal RNA is filed under the name uncultured bacterium. RNAcentral describes it as "bacterial SSU rRNA". It matches the Rfam family "Bacterial small subunit ribosomal RNA", at positions 639 to 1497 of the family's 1533-position model. The record is from RNAcentral.
GGCUUGAGUGUGGUAGGGGCAGAGGGAAUUCCCGGUGUAGCGGUGAAAUGCGUAGAUAUCGGGAAGAACACCAGUGGCGAAGGCGCUCUGCUGGGCCAUCACUGACGCUCAUGGACGAAAGCCAGGGGAGCGAAAGGGAUUAGAUACCCCUGUAGUCCUGGCCGUAAACGAUGAACACUAGGUGUCGGGGGAAUCGACCCCCUCGGUGUCGUAGCCAACGCGUUAAGUGUUCCGCCUGGGGAGUACGCACGCAAGUGUGAAACUCAAAGGAAUUGACGGGGGCCCGCACAAGCGGUGGAGUAUGUGGUUUAAUUCGAUGCAACGCGAAGAACCUUACCAGGGUUUGACAUCCUGCGAAUCUCUUGGAAACGAGAGAGUGCCUUCGGGAACGCAGUGACAGGUGGUGCAUGGCUGUCGUCAGCUCGUGUCGUGAGAUGUUGGGUUAAGUCCCGCAACGAGCGCAACCCACGUCUUUAGUUGCCAGCAUUUAGUUGGGCACUCUAGAGAGACCGCCGGUGAUAAACCGGAGGAAGGUGUGGAUGACGUCAAGUCAUCAUGCCCCUUACAUCCUGGGCUACACACGUACUACAAUGCUACGGACAAAGGGCAGCAAGUUCGCGAGGACAAGCAAAUCCCAUAAACCGUGGCUCAGUUCAGAUCGUAGGCUGCAACUCGCCUACGUGAAGGAGGAAUCGCUAGUAAUCGCAGGUCAGCAUACUGCGGUGAAUACGUUCCCGGGCCUUGUACACACCGCCCGUCACACCAUGGAAGUUGGCCACGCCCGAAGCCGUUACUCCAACCCUCGGGAGGAGGACGUCGAAGGUGGGGCUGAUGACUGGGGUGAAGUCGUAACAAGGU